UACGUAGGUGGCAAGCGUUGUCCGGAAUUAUUGGGCGUAAAGCGCGCGCAGGCGGUUCCUUAAGUCUGAUGUGAAAGCCCACGGCUCAACCGUGGAGGGUCAUUGGAAACUGGGGGACUUGAGUACAGAAGAGAAGAGUGGAAUUCCACGUGUAGCGGUGAAAUGCGUAGAGAUGUGGAGGAACACCAGUGGCGAAGGCGACUCUUUGGUCUGUAACUGACGCUGAGGCGCGAAAGCGUGGGGAGCAAACAGG
This 253-nucleotide ribosomal RNA is filed under the name uncultured bacterium. RNAcentral describes it as "partial 16S ribosomal RNA". It matches the Rfam family "Bacterial small subunit ribosomal RNA", at positions 524 to 776 of the family's 1533-position model. The record is from RNAcentral.